AUGCUAUAAUGGGUACAAUUUCCCUCCAUCCUUUCAAAAGUUUACGUUUUUCAAAAUUUUGCUUUAAAUCUACUUUUGCGCGAGAAUCCACAUAAGAAUAUUUUGGCACAAUUAAAACAUCUUGAAAAUCUAGUUGAGGAUUUUUCUGUUUUUUUUUUAAUGUUACCCACUUUUUAAAUUGAUUACGAAAACGUAUAAUUUGUUCAAUUAAAACUCUAGUAAUCUAGUUAGACAUACAAGAGGGGUUUGUAAUUCACGCUAUGCUAUAUAAACAUGCAACAUUUACGCUCCUAUUACCGUGUUGCAAUUCAUGCAUGUUAAGUUUUGUACAAAAGACGUUUAAAUAUGUAAUUUACUAGUACAGGAUAGAUUAGUGUAUUUUAAUAGUAAUACGUAUACAGGUAAAGGGUGCAGUAUGAAUAAAUUAUGUUUUCACUUAAACGCUACACCUUCAAGAUGGGCUGUGUGGAUAUGUCAAAACUAUAUGACAGGGAAAAUUUCCAUUAGUCAUUCAUAACCUUUAAACUUUAAGAGCAUACGAAUACCGUAUUUUUUUAAGAUUUCUACGUAACGUAAUUGAAUGUUUCUUCUGACCGUUAAUUAGAAGAUUCAAAUUUCAAUUUUUUGUUUUUUAUAAUGUUGCGUGCUUACUUUAUAGUCAAGGCGUGUAUAUAAUCCGCAAAAAAAGAAAUUUUGGUAUUAGUAACGUGAAACACAUUUUUUGUUUUCAAUCUAUGGUAAAGUCGAAGGGGUCGUUAUUUUUUUUUAUCUUUAUCUUUUUUUUCCGUCCUAUGUCAUAAGCAAAAUCUUCUCGAUUACGUCGAGUAGUUAUAGGU
Long non-coding RNA from Hylaeus volcanicus, 836 nucleotides. RefSeq lists it as uncharacterized. The record is from RefSeq and is a predicted model, not a curated record. Lineage: Eukaryota; Metazoa; Arthropoda; Insecta; Hymenoptera; Colletidae. The transcript has 3 exons.